UCUCAUAAAAAUAAGGUUUUUCGCCUUUUUAUUUAAAUUUUCAGUGACGAAGGCAGGACAAUUGUGCUAUGCUGAGAAGCGGCUGCUGACAGUAACGCAGGAUUCUGAGCAUGCCUCAGCAAAGCCCUUUCCAGUAUACCACUAUGAUUGUGCUGCUAAUUCUGUCUCCCGUGAUGUUAGCCAGCCACAUGGGUUACCUGUAAAUUAGUAAGCCUCCUCAGUACUCCCU
This 229-nucleotide long non-coding RNA is filed under the name Dasypus novemcinctus (nine-banded armadillo). Its description in RNAcentral is "lncRNA (ENSDNOG00000052417.1)". Lineage: Eukaryota; Metazoa; Chordata; Mammalia; Cingulata; Dasypodidae. The record is from RNAcentral.